This 520-nucleotide long non-coding RNA is filed under the name Phoenix dactylifera (date palm). Its description in RNAcentral is "long non-coding RNA (PDAC_LNC004331)". Lineage: Eukaryota; Viridiplantae; Streptophyta; Magnoliopsida; Arecales; Arecaceae. The record is from RNAcentral.
UCUCCUUGGAAGUUUAGGUGGUUAAUUUGCUCAUUGGCUGUACAUUGUUCUUCAAUCAUUUAUAUCUAGAAGGUACUUGAAUCUUGAGAAAAGCAAAUCUAGUAAACGGUCAUGUAAUAUUAGUCUUGAGGGAUACUCCAUUUUGCUCACACAAAAAGGUGGCUUUGGGACUUCAUGAUGGUGAACUCGUGGAUUAAGGGAUGACAAUAAUCUUGCCAAGCAAUUAUUGUUGGAUAUUUGGUCUAUAGAUGAUUUUUUUUUUUUUUUGUAUACAACGGCAGCUCAAACAGCUCUAGUGUGAGUACAACCAGUAGAAUCAAGAAAGAGAAAAUAACGUAAUAUGAAGGAGUAGCUACAUCAGUAGUCUAUAGGACUGUACCAGAAUGCCGAAUAGGUUGCAACUCUUAAUCUAUAGGUAGUUAGUUAAUCUGGCAAAAAUUGCUCAACCGUGCAUGCAAUAUCUAUCUAUUGUUAUAAUUGGAAAAGGUUUUGAGGUUGGCUUCAUGCAGCUAGCUCCAAA